ACCACAUUAUUGAUGUGGUAGCAAAGUGGCCGGGAUCGGUUCACGAUGCAAGAAUACUUGCACAAAGUGGACUCUGCACCAUAUUUGAAAACGGCAUCGUCCCAGCUGGGUGUCACUUACUGGGAGAUAGUGGCUAUCCCAACAAGAAGUGGCUACUGACUCCAUACCUCAGACCACAGCCUGGAGCACAGUCUUAUAACAGGGCCCACAAGAAAACCCGCAGCGUUGUCGAAAGAGGCAUCGGGCAGCUGAAGCGACGUUUUCACGUGCUGCACAGCGAGAUCCGAGUUGGUCCUCCAUCCAAGGUCUGCCAAAUAGUAGAAGUAUGUGCACUGCUGCACAACAUCUGCAAAGUCAGAAACAUCAUUCUUCCAGAAGAAGAUGAAAAUCUGGCUGCAGCCGAGGAUGGAGGCAACGAGGAGCAACCCCCAGUACAGGAAGUUCAACGUCGCCGUGAAGGAAUCCUGUACAGGGAUGAAUUUGUGGUGCUUCACUUCAACAUUGAUGAGUGAUGAUACACCAGUGUCAUCACUGCUGAGAUUGGUGUCAUUUUCAUGUGUAUGACCUCCUCCUCAUCCACAUACAUCAGUGAUGUACCAGGCAAGUCAGGCCCCUGUUGGUGCCACAUCACUGGUGCUGGAAGUGGUGUGGCAGGUGCCUCCUCCUCCACACCCAUUGCCUCGGUCACCACUUCACUUUGUUGGGUUGCCUCUGCCACUUCCCCAGCAUCAUGUGCUGCCUCCACACUGCUGGCAUCAUAAGUUCUAAUUUCAGAAACAAAGCUGAUAAUGUUUUUGGUUUUAUUGCUAAGGAUAAAAGUAACAGAAACCAGUAAAUCUAGCUAAGGGGACAAUGUGUUUGACUUAAAUCCUAUGCUGUUUGAAGGAAGCCCAUGUCUAAGAAACUGCAAAUCCCUAAGACUCAUUAUCAUUAACAU
Molecule: long non-coding RNA, 937 nt
Organism: Portunus trituberculatus (swimming crab)
Lineage: Eukaryota; Metazoa; Arthropoda; Malacostraca; Decapoda; Portunidae
Exons: 4
Source: RefSeq, a predicted model, not a curated record